GAGACAGCAGCCGCCGCGGUAAUACGAAGGGGGCUAGCGUUGCUCGGAAUCACUGGGCGUAAAGGGUGCGUAGGCGGGUCUUUAAGUCAGGGGUGAAAUCCUGGAGCUCAACUCCAGAACUGCCUUUGAUACUGAAGAUCUUGAGUUCGGGAGAGGUGAGUGGAACUGCGAGUGUAGAGGUGAAAUUCGUAGAUAUUCGCAAGAACACCAGUGGCGAAGGCGGCUCACUGGCCCGAUACUGACGCUGAGGCACGAAAGCGUGGGGAGCAAACAGGAUUAGAUACCCCAGUAGUCCCUGUCUCUUAUAC
This 308-nucleotide ribosomal RNA is filed under the name uncultured bacterium. Its description in RNAcentral is "partial 16S ribosomal RNA". It matches the Rfam family "Bacterial small subunit ribosomal RNA", at positions 505 to 807 of the family's 1533-position model. The record is from RNAcentral.